This 1422-nucleotide unclassified non-coding RNA is filed under the name Hevea brasiliensis (rubber tree). The record is from RNAcentral. Lineage: Eukaryota; Viridiplantae; Streptophyta; Magnoliopsida; Malpighiales; Euphorbiaceae.
GAAAAUUUUCUUUCAUUGAUGUGUUGUAAUGUUAAAUACAAUAAACAAGUUCUGAACCCUAGCCCCCUACAAACCCUUAAAUGGGGAGAAACAUUGUACAUUCAUUUCUUACAAAGCAUAAAUGGGCAACGAGACUCAUCACCGUUUCAGUUCUAAACAAACAGGCAGGAGAACUUGAGGCAGUAUCAAUGCACCUUGAAGAUGUUGAACAAAGUGGAAUGAACAUCUUUAAUCUCUUUCACAAAAUAAAUAAUCCUCAGGGAUGUCAACAGUUGUAAGAAAUCCCCAUAUUCUUCUACAAUUUUGAAACAUUCAAGAAUGUCUUGUCAAAACCAGAGAUAUUUUUCACCGGUUUUGAAGACUCUCGAUCGCCUUUUUCCACUGCCAUGCCCUUUGUUUUGCAUCCUCAAAUGACAUUACCUUCUUGGGCGUACAGAUCUUGAAAUUUGAAGGACUUAUAACCUGCACACUCAGGUCAUUAGAAUUGUCAGACCAAAUUAUAUUUCCUUUUACCACUAACUUUGAAGGAUCCACAUAAAUCAAUUUUGGCUUGUUAGUGAGAAUGAGCUGCACUUUCUUGCUUGUCAAUUUCUGUAAUUUUUUCACCAUUGAGAUCAUAAGAACAGAUUCCCCCGGAUCCAAAAAUUGUUGCCAUUUAGAAUCAAAGGAGUCAAUAGAGGCAAGUCUAGUUACAGAACCAGAUGCUUCAGCAGAUGAAGUUCCAACAUUCCCAUCAUUCUGUCUUAUUGAACCAUCCCCAAUAUGUGUAGGGUUCCAUGAAGAAUCAUUAUCAUGCUCACCCUCACCAGACUGUGCCACUUGCUCCAAAGCGAGUUUCGGAGGAGUUUCCCCUCUAAUAUUCUUCCAGUUAACUCCCUUAAAGAAAGGAUGCAUUUUGAGUGAAGCAUAACCAUCAUGUCCAGCACCUGGUCUUCUGCUGGGAUCUAUAUCCAAUAACCGAUCAAUAAUGUUUCUAGCUUCUUCUGAAAAGUAGUUAGGAAAUCUUAAAUCCCGGGCUAUAAUUCUUUGAAAUAUAAGCCAUUCACUUGCAUCUUUGAAAGGAGAAGUUCCUGAAAGCAUCUGGUACAAGGUGCAGCCAAGUGCCCAGAGGUCAUUUCCAAAUGUUACAGGAGAAGAGUUGAGGACUUCUGGAGGGACAUACGCAGCAGUGCCCACAAAUGUGCAAGCUUUAUCGUCUGAGGCUGCAUUAGGAAGAACAGUUAUGCGGCUGUCCUGCAUUGGCUUCACACUCCCAAAAUCAGCAAUUUUAAUAUGUCCAUCCCCUGUAAGCAGUAAGUUCUCCGGCUUGAUAUCUCGAUGUAUUAAUCCCAUAUUAUGUAUGUAUUCAAGAGCAUCCACAACUUCUGCAGCAUAGAAGCGAGCUUCAUCCUCCGAUAAACGGCCUUUUCUGGUUAUUUGGUC